This 370-nucleotide ribosomal RNA is filed under the name Trichoramalina crinita. RNAcentral describes it as "SSU rRNA". It matches the Rfam family "Bacterial small subunit ribosomal RNA", at positions 377 to 744 of the family's 1533-position model. The record is from RNAcentral. Lineage: Eukaryota; Fungi; Ascomycota; Lecanoromycetes; Lecanorales; Ramalinaceae.
UAACGGCUGAACCAGCAACUUGGAGGAAUGUAUAGCUACGGCUAAUUGUGUAUAACUACACGAUAUCGGCUCUGUCGAAUAAAAUUCUGGAUAAAUUAUGAUGAUGACAUUUUUUAUCCAUGUGUCUUGACCAAAUUGUGUGCCAGCAGUCGCGGUAAUACAUAGAAGACUAGUGUUAUUCAUCUUUAAUAGGUUUAAAGGGUACCUAGACGGUAAAUCAAGCCCUAGACGGGACUAAUUUGCUAGAGUUACUUAUGAGGGGGCUUUAAAGUACUAAUGGUGUAGAGAUAAAAUUUUGUAAUACCAUUUUUCGUAAAGAAAAGUUAUGGCACUGGUAAAGGUGAAAGCAUCCCCCUAUGUGAUAACUGAC